Molecule: non-coding RNA, 235 nt
Organism: Chlorocebus sabaeus (green monkey)
Lineage: Eukaryota; Metazoa; Chordata; Mammalia; Primates; Cercopithecidae
Rfam family: Metazoan signal recognition particle RNA
About the family: The signal recognition particle (SRP) is a universally conserved ribonucleoprotein. It is involved in the co-translational targeting of proteins to membranes.
Source: Rfam
GCCGGGCGCGGUGGCUCAAGCCUGUAAUCCCAGCACUUUGGGAGGCCGAGACGGGCGGAUCACGAGGUCAGGAGAUCGGAGCCCACCCGGCUUAACCCGGUAAACCCCGUCUCUACUAAAAAAUACAAAAAACUANNNNNNNNNNUAGUUUUUUGUAUUUUUUAGUAGAGACGGGGUUUACCGGGUUAAGCCGGGUGGGCUCCGAUCUCCUGACCUCGUGAUCCGCCCGUCUCGG